CAAAUGAGACUAACAAUUCUGGUGAAAGACUCCACCUUCAAAAUGAAACUUAAAGCAAAUGCAACAAUGGUGGAACUCUCAUCACCUCAAUAGAAACUUCUUUACAUGUAAGGAUUGAAAACCAUUUUUGAGAAAAAGGGAAUCUCCAUGGAAAUGGAGAAAAUCGACCCAACCUCUUUGUCAUCAGCAUUCCUAAUUCACAACCAGCCUAAUCCUGGUAUACAUGUUCAGUAAUACCAAAAUGAGCCAUGAGAAGCCAGACAUGAGUGAGCAGCUCUCCACCUUGCGUAAGCUCCUUGGCAUGUUCAUUCCGUGGACAGUGACAUGCAGCAUAACAUAGCAUCUCUACCCACACAUGACUCAUCAUCUCCCAUUUCUUUUCACAGUUCCAUUCCUCUUCUGUCUCCAGGGAUUGCAAUGACUUGGCGAGCCUACAGGCUUCGGAUAACACUGACUUGCUUCUAUCUCCUUUCACUUUCAAUGGUGGAAUUUCAAGGUUCACUUGAAGGACUAACCUUUUACAAGCUUGGAUUCUAUCUUUUACACUAUGAAAAAUCUUUGUGGCCUCAUCACAGCUGUGUUGAAAUCGGAUUUGUCCAAUUCCAUUAGGCAGCAUAAAGGGGCGCUUGACCAGAAGAUACACCAUAUAAUCUGAUACCAGCUUGCUUGCUUCACGGUUUGAGUUCUCCGUAGGGCUUGAUUUUUUGUUUAGAUCACUAUAGUAGCAGAGAUCAGUUGCCACGUGCCAGAGGAGAAUGCAGGCAUCGAAUUCUCCCUCAAUGCUCCAGCGUAACGUACAGAAACAUUUCAUCUCUUCUAGCGUCCGUUUUCCUCUGUCAGCACAUAAUUCCUUGGCUUCCUUAAUGCCUGGGGCAUGCCUUGAUUUCUCCUGAAGCUGUUCAAAGAUCAAUUUUUUCAAAUAUUUGGGGACAUCUGAAUUCUUAGAAGAGCACUCAUCCAACAUCCGAGGAAUGCAAAAGAACUUCCAGACCUCACUGAACUUGAUAGGCAAAUUUUUGAGGCUGUGACUUAUUAGAUUGUACCUUGCCAUGGAAUCAGACCAUCUCUUGUUUGCAGGGAAGAGAUAAGGUAGUCGGCAACUAGAUAUGGCUUCACAGAUCAGAGUCACUCGUGUUUUUCCUUGCUUGUUCAACCAAAUCAUGGUCCAGUCAGAGGAACACAGUAGAAUAAUAGAAUAAAUCUCCAGAACAAUUGCUCCAACCAGCAACAACCAUGUUAUAGUCACGUCAGUAGUUGAGUACUCAUUCUUGUCAAUUAUCAUGAAGCCGAUGAAUGUUGAGAUUGCUGAAAAUAGACAGAUGAAACGGAGUAGGACAUUGGAUUUAUCAUAAGCCUUCAUUGGCUUGGUAUAGAAGAUGUCAUACAUGAAUCCAAGCUCAAUCUCAAUCACUUUGACAGCUUCUGUCCAAGAUAUAUUAUUGAAGGAGGACUUGCUUUUUUCAAGGGUUGUCGGCUCAAGGACGAGAUCUGUAAACAAACGCUUGAACUUGGGGAAGAAUUUGUUAGCCUUUUGCAAGGGGUCUUCAUCUGGGAUACUUUGGUUACUGGGGUCUGGCGAAGGUAUAUUCACCACCUUAGAUGUUUCAAUUUCUGGCUGGCAUGAAACACAAUAUCCCUCAGCUCUCUUGCAAUCACACCCUGCCAUGAUUGCGGCAUAACUGAGCCCAUCAUACUCUGCCAUGAAUGCGGCAUAACAAGGCCCAUUACACUCACACGCACAGCUGUGCCCCUCAUCACCGUUCUCCUCAUCACUGGUCUCCUCAUGAGUGGUUUCCUCAUCACUGGUCUCCUCAUCAGUGGGAGGGAUCACGGAAUUUCUAAAAUGAUCGUUGCUUGCGGACCUUAGAAACCAUGUUUUCUCCCCAUACUUGAUCAGUCCUGUCACAAACAUUGGCAUGGUUAGAAUAUUGAGUGGUGUGCCCUUCCAGGACCUCAAAAAGAUGCUCAAUGCCCACAGAGACUUCAGGAAUAGGUGAAUCAAUUGUCUUCUCCAUAAUUCAUUGUCUUCCAAAGAAUAGGCUGUGAUGGUGUCCGGGCCUCCAAGGUUCUGUAGCAGAAAUGGUAGCCAAAAUGCCUUUUGUUGAAUUUUGACUUAGUAUUUGCUGGAAUUUGAAUUUUGAAUAUUGCAGCUGGAGUCUUGCACAAAAUCUGCAACAUCUAGAUAUUUUCUUAUUUUUAUUUGGUCAAGAUUUGGUUUCUAUUUUAUAGGAAGUAGUUAUUCAUCAUCUAGUAGCUUGAUUUUCUGCUAUUCUAAUGUCAUUUAAGUUACAAGUUCAUGUAUUGAUUCAGCACUCUUCAUCAAUAAAAUUAGAGCUCCGGUAGCCCAAAAAUAUAUAUUUUGUAUAAGUAUUUAAUCCAAAUACCAACAAAUUGGUAUCAGAGCCAUAGUUAUCUUGAGGGGCCAGUGAGGUGAGUGAACCCAAACACCUUCUAAAAUCAUUUAGCAAUGGAAGAGUCAAGUCUCACAGUUGCACCAUCAAUUCUUGAUGGAGACAAUUAUGAAACUUGGGCUGUUAGAAUGACAGUUCAUCUACAAGCACUUGAUGUUUGGGAAGCAGUGGAAGAAAAUUAUGAAGUUCCUCCCCUGGGAGCCAAUCCAACUGUGGCUUAAAUGAAGUUGCAUAAAGAAAGAAGGACAAGAAAGGCUAAAGCGAAAGCUUGCUUGUUUGCUGCAGUUUCACCAUCAAUUUUCAUCAAAAUCAUGAAAAUUGAUUCAGCUGCAGAAAUUUGGGAGUAUCUCAAGGAGGAAUACAAAGGAGAUGAAAGAAUCAAGAACAUGCAGGUGAUGAACUUGAUUCGAGAAUUUGAAAUGAAGAAAAUGAGGGAGUCUGAUGCUGUUAAAGACUAUGCUGCACAACUUCUUUCAAUAGCAGACAAAGUUAGGCUGCUUGGAAAAGAAUUUUCCAAUGAGAAGAUUGUUCAAAAGAUAUUGGUUACACUUCCUGAGAAAUAUGAAGCUACAAUUUCCUCUUUGGAGAAUUCAAAAGAUCUGUCAACUAUUAGCUUGACAGAAUUAUUACAUUCCUUGGAGGCUGUGGAACAAAGAAGACUCAUGAGACAAGGAGAUACUGCAGAAGGAGCAUUUCAAGCAAGAAUGCAGAAAAAUGCAGGCCAUAAAAAUGGAAAGGUGAACAACAACAAGUCGUGUGGCAACAACCAGAAAAAUGGAGUUUUUCCACCUUGUCCUCAUUGCAAGAAGACAAAUCAUUCUCCACAAAAAUGUUGGUGGAGACCAGAUGUGAAAUGCAACAAGUGUGGUAAACAAGGACAUGUGGAGAGGAUUUGCAAAAAUCAACAGCAGGAAGAAACUAGUGCAGCAGUUGACUAUUGUCAGGAGGAGCAAUUGUUUGUAGCAACGUGUUUUGCUAAUAAAAGCACCUCUAAAAGCUGGCUUGUGGAUAGUGGUUGUACAAACCACAUGACAAAUAAUCAAGAUCUCUUUAGAGAACUUGAUAGAACAACUAUUUCCAAAGUCAGAAUUGGAAAUGGUGAGUAUAUUCCAGUGAAGGGCAAAGGAACGGUUGCUAUCAAAAGCCAAACAGGUUUGAAACUCAUUUAUGAUGUUUUGUUUGUGCCUGACAUUGACCAAAACUUACUCAGUGUUGGACAGCUCGUUGAGAAAGAAUUUAAAGUUUAUUUUGAAGAUAGGAAUUGCAUUAUCAAGGAUGUUGAAGGCAAAGAGGUGUUCAACAUAAAAAUGAAGGGCAAGAGUUUUGCCUUGAAUUUACUGGAAGAUGAACAUACUGCUAUUUUACAACAAGAUAGCACAACAAUGUUUUGGGACAGAAGGGUCGAGCACUUUCAUCAUGAUGAUGUGCUCUACAUGAAGAAAAAUCAAAUAGUUGAAGGACUUCCUGAAUUAGAAAAAGAUCUUCCUAUAUGUGCUACUUGUCAAUAUGGGAAGCAAACUAAACUUCCCUUUCCAAAGAAAAUAUCCUGGAGAGCAACCCAAAAACUGCAACUGGUGUAUACUGAUGUUGGUGGAUCUCAAAAAAUGCCAUCCUUGAAAUGGAAUGCAAACAAUGUUUGGUGGAUCUCAAAAAAUGUCAUCCUUGAAAUGGAAUGCAAACAGUUUUGGGCUAAAACUGCAAGUAGAGCAGUAUAUUUUCUGAACAUAUUGCCAACAAAAGUGUUAAAGAAGCAGACCCCUUUCGAAGUUUGGUUUGAGUGUCUACGUGCAAGACUUGGAGUUUGCAUCUACGAAGUCAAGGAGGAGUGUUGAAUUUUGACUUAGUAUUUGCUGGAAUUUGAAUUUUGAAUAUUGCAGCUGGAGUCUUGCACAAAAUCUGCAACAUCUAGAUAUUUUCUUAUUUUUAUUUGGUCAAGAUUUGGUUUCUAUUUUAUAGGAAGUAGUUAUUCAUCAUCUAGUAGCUUGAUUUUAUGCUAUUCUAAUGUCAUUUAAGUUACAAGUUCAUGUAUAAAUUCAGCACUCUUCAUCAAUAAAAUUAGAGCUCCGGCAGCCCAAAAAUAUAUAUUUUGUAUAAGUAUUUAAUCCAAAUACCAACACCUUUAUCAUAUCGCUUUGUUGUGAUGAGUUAUCUUGGCACUUGACGAGUACGCCAAUAAAAAUAUCAAUCACCGCGUCUUUGGUUGUGUAAGCUAGGAAAAUGAUGCAUCUAAGCAAUUUUCCGGGUGUAUAUUUUCUCCUGUUGCCCAAGAGGACGAGCUCAAUUUGUGAGAGGAGGCUGACUAAAACAAAUCCACGGAGUAGCCAAUCAUUAAGAAGUCCAAUCACUGUUACGGGCAACAUUUCCUGGACGGUCCUCCUAUUCAUGAUGAUCAUGCAGCUAAUACCUGAAAAUAUAACAAACAAAAAAAAUUAUUGGAUUAAUACAGAAGAUCUGAAUGUCAAUUGAUAAUUAGAAGUGACAGAGUUGAAUGGACGAGGAACAGAAUUCAACAUGCUCAAAACCUAAUGGAUCUUUAUAGCUUUAAAAGUGGGAUAUAUCAUAAUGUGAUCCAUAUACAAUAUAAAUGUUGUCCAUUCUAAACCCAAUGGACCUUACGGUUUUAAACGAGGGAUAUCACAAUGAUUCCCAUAUAAACAUAACAUUGUCAUUGUUCCGUGGUAUUGCAAGGUGGAUGGAAAAAGUUUCACACCAGGGUUGAGGUUAAGGAUCACAUGUAGAGAAGCAUUGCAUUUGGAGGGAAUCACUCCUCUCCAUAUAGAUAUUGUUUGCUCUAGAUGCAAUUCGUGUCUAUAUGAUUAAGAUAAGUUAUACACUACUACAAACUUUUUUCCCUCUAAGAUGGUAUCACACUAUUAAUAAUUGAUUAAGUAAAAAAUUCAAAAUUUUGCAUCCUCUCUUGCUUUUAACACAGUGAUUAGCACAUCUAAGCAAAUUCUUCCGUGAGCACGUUUUUGGAAAUGGGGAGUGAUUUUUUUUUCAGAGGGUGUUUCUGAUUCAAAUAGUAAAACAAAAUGCACUUUUGAUUUCAAAUAAUGAAGGAAACUAAUUAAUUGCUUCGCUACAAACCAGAUUCCGACUUGCUUGCGUAGUAAAUAGACACUGGCUCAACUACAUGACAUUACAACUAAAUAGAAAAAUGGUUUUCUCAGCAACCAAACGGAGCUCAACCCAACACCCAAACUCAUUCAGAAUUCCACAAACUUACAAUGACAAUAACCUCAAACUCAUUAGUAUUCAUAAAGGCCAACAAACAAGGAUCAAACGGUAACAAAUUUGUAUGUAAUUGAGAUUAAAAAUUAAAAACAAUCUAGGCCAAAGAAAGCAUACCCACUUUUCUCCGAGUCUGUGAAUGUGAUGUGAGGGAGAGAGACACCAGGAAGUGUCAUGGGAGGUCAAGAGUGCAAGCAGAAAUAGUGAGUGAAGUCUUCCCUCCGUCAUUUUUUUUGGUGUGGCAUCUGAGUGAAGUAACGUGGAUCUCUCUGUCAUUUAAAAUAGAAAAAGAUGCAAGACAUUUUAUAAACUCUUGCAUUUUACGUUGGUCUGAAGCGAGUUCUGGGUGGCCCGAUGUUUCUCCGAGAUCCACAAAAUCCGAUUGCCUUAUGAAUUUUUAUAUAUUAACAUUAAGAUUUGAGCCGAUUGAAGUCAAAGUGGGAAUCUAUCAAUGUGGUUUGUUUUGAGUUAAUUACAAUAAUCGAUCCUAUAUUUUUAUCUGUUUGAUUCUUCUAGGCAACAAAAAACAAUUUCUUUUCUUAUUAAUUCAAGUGGCAAUCCUAAAUCCAAACAUUAUAUGUGAAAAAACUCAAAUAAUAUUAUCAUCAUAGGGAUGACAAUGGGCAGUUCUUUUGGGUAUCACCUCGCCUUGCUCCUAGUGGGAAAGGUUUGAGAUAAAGAUAAAGGUUUGAAGGAAGAUUCCACUUGUGACUGGGAUUAUGGGAAAUGUCAAGGAAGCUAUCCCUUUCUCUCCGGCUACAAGCUAUCCCUUUCUCUCCGAGAUCCACAAAAUCCGAUUGCCUUAUGAAUUUUUAUAUAUUAACAUUAAGAUUUGAGCCGAUUGAAGUCAAAGUGGGAAUCUAUCAAUGUGGUUUGUUUUGAGUUAAUUACAAUAAUCGAUCCUAUAUUUUUAUCUGUUUGAUUCUUCUAGGCAACAAAAAACAAUUUCUUUUCUUAUUAAUUCAAGUGGCAAUCCUAAAUCCAAACAUUAUAUGUGAAAAAACUCAAAUAAUAUUAUCAUCAUAGGGAUGACAAUGGGCAGUUCUUUUGGGUAUCACCUCGCCUUGCUCCUAGUGGGAAAGGUUUGAGAUAAAGAUAAAGGUUUGAAGGAAGAUUCCACUUGUGACUGGGAUUAUGGGAAAUGUCAAGGAAGCUAUCCCUUUCUCUCCGGCUACAAGAUAAAUUUUACGGCUCCAAUUAUUUUCUCUAGCUACAACCUAAAUUUUGCAGUUCCAAUCCCAAAGAUUUGAGUCUUGUAGAAGCCUCUUUCUCCUCAGCAUUAUGGGAAAAAGAGGAGGCAGAAUGGAGGAUCCAUGGCCAAGGUCAUUCUCUCAUGGGUGGCACAGAAGCUCUCUGUUCUGGUCAUUCAAGAAUCAGGCCCUUUGAAUGGACUUGAAGAAAAGGUCAAUUCCAUCUACUUGGAACUGGGUUCUUCAUUGAGAGAACCGUCAGAAUUAGAGGAGUUCAGGGGCAUUGCCUAUGAUAUAGAGGAUGUCAUUGAUGACCUGACACUGAAAUCAGCAGCAACAAGGAGCACAGGAGUUCACAUGAAGCUGGAGCAGAUCAAGGCUAAGAUCUAUGAUGUCAGUAGAGGACCAGCUUCUUACGCUUGGAUACCAACUCAACCAGUAGAGGAUCAGAACAUAUCCAACACAGUUGUUUCCCCAGUUAUAGAGAAAGUUACAGGUCUUUUUGCUCAGUUGUCAAGCUUCGUCCUCAAGUGAGAAGGAAGGCCAGAAGGUUACAGGAUGAAUUUAGGUUAAUGAAUCAUUGUUAUGAUCUAGAAUCAGAAUGUUUAGAUGAAAGUGGGAUGAUAUGGAUGGAGGAACUCUGCAACAUUUCUAUUUAUGCAGCGGAUGUAAUUGGGUUCUACAGCAACAGGAGGAAACAGUAUAAAAGGAAGGGAACUUUAAGGAGAGUCAUCGCAGCCUUUGACAGAUUGUGGUCUCAGCUUCGUCUAGGCAUGGAGUUGGAUGCAAUCAAUGCUAGGAUUCAGGACAUUCCUGAGAGCUUGUACGUGGACAAAUAAAUUCAAAAGAAAAAUCUAUACUAAUUGAAUAUACAUCAGUAACUUGGAAGAAGUCUAAUAAAAAUCCAUAAGCUAGCGGACAAACACUUGCAGACAUCAAUUUUAUAUCUUUCACAGGAGGAAUCUCUCCCCUUUAAUUUGCCCAAUAUAGAUAUUUUUCCAUUUCAUCCAUACCGAUUAUUUCCUUAAUUUUCUUCCUUAAUUAUUAACACAAUAAGGUAAAGGUUCCCCUUAAAUAAAACAAAGCACAAAUGGGACUAACAAUUCUGGUGAAAGACUCCACCUUCAAAAUGAAACUUAAAGAAAAUGCAACAAUGGUGGAACUCUCACCACCUGAAUUGAAACUUAUUUGCAUGAAAGGAAUGAAAAUCAUUUUUGAGAAAAAAGGAAUUUCCAUGGAAAUGGAGAAAAUCCACCCAACCUCUUUGUCAUCAGCAUUCCUAAUUCACAAUCAGCCUAAUCCUGGCAUACAUGUUCAGUAAUACCAAAAUGAGCCAUGAGAAGCCAGACAUGAGUGAGCAGCUCUCCACCUUGCGUUAGCUCCUUGGCAUGUUCAUUCCGUGGACAGUGACAUGCAGCAUAACAUAGCAUCUCUACCCACACAUGACUCAUCAUCUCCCAUUUCUUUUCAUUGUUCCAUUUUUCUGACUCCAGAGAUUGCAAAGACUUGGCCAGCCUACAGGCAUCGAGUAACACUGACUUGCUUCCAUCUCCUUUCGCUUUCAAUGGUGGAAUUUCAGUGUUCACUUGAAGAAGAAACCUUUUACAAGAUUGGAUAUUUCUAUCUUUUACAGUCUGAAAAAUCUUUGUGGCCUUAGCACAGCUGUCUCUAAAUCGGAUUUGUCCAAUUCCAGGAGGAAGCAUAAGGGGGCGCUUGAGCAGAAGAUACACCAUAUAAUCUGAUAGCAGCUUGCUUGCUUCACGGUUUGAGUUCUUGGCAGGGCUUGAUUUUUUGUUUAGAUCAGUAUCGUAGCAGAGAUCAGUUGCUAGGUGCCAGACUAGAAUGCACUCAUCGAAUUCUCCCUCAAUGCUCCAAUGUAAGGUAGAGAAACAUUUCAUCUCUUCUAGUGUCCGUUUUCCUCUGUCAGCACAUAAUUCCUUGGCUUCCUUAAUGCCUGGGGUAUGCUUUGAUUUCUUCUGAAGCUGUUCAAAGAUCAUUUUUUUCAAAUAUUUGGGGACAUCUGAAUUCUUAGAAGAACACUUCAACAUCUGAGAAAUGCGAAAGAACUUCCUAACCUCACUGAACUUGAUAGGCAAUUUUUUGAAGCUGUAACUUAUUAGAUUGUACCGUGCCAUGGAAUCAGACCAUCUCUUGUUUGCAGGGAAGAGAUAAGGUAGUCGGCAACUAGAUAUGGCUUCACAGAUAAGAGUCACUCGUGUUCUUUCUUGUUUGUUCAACCAAAUCGUGGUCCAGUCAGAGGAACACAGUAGAAUAAUAGAAUAGAUCUCCAGAACAAUUGCUCCAGCCAGCAACAACCAUGUUAUAAUCACGUCAGUAGUUGAGUACUCAUGCUUGUCAAUUAUCAAGAAGCCGAUGAAUGUUGUGUUGGGAAUUGUCCCAAAUUCCUAAUUAGUAAAUAUUCCUUUUUUGUAAAGAACAUUGUAUAGAAUAUUUCUAGGUUGAUAUAUUAUUGUAAUAUUAGACUUCCUUAUUCAAUAAGGAAGGUUGUUGGAAAUAUCUCUAUAAAUAUUCUGGGUCAUGAGGGGAAAAAGUUAUGAGAUGGAGAUGGGCCUGGGCCUAUAGAGACUAUACGAGGUGGAUAGAGAUGUGAGGAAGAACGGGAGGUACCUGGUGGAGCGAGAGGGCUCGUAGUAAGGUAUGGAUACAAGGAGUGGAGAAACAUGGGAUGUUUCGGGAACCCAAUAGUUGUAUCUGGUUUUAUCCUCUGUAAUAUUCUCUAUCGUAUAGUGGAAUUAUUCUCUCUCAUCCGUGGACGUAGACAUGGUUGGCCGAACCACGUUAAAACCUCGUGUACCGUAUGUGUGAUUGUUUUUCUUUGGCGUGUGUUUUCUCUAAUUUUUUUGUUUCUCACGGGUUGGGAAUUCGGUUUAAUUCCCUACAACUGGUAUCAGAGCUUGGGUUGAAGAUUUCUGGAAGAGUAAAAGAUCACAAAGCACACAAGAUGAAAACAAAAGGAAUUUUCACUGAAGGUGGAGUCAAUUGCUCUUUCGUGGUGAUAUGAUACAAAAAGGUUUGUGUCAUGGAGAGAUUGAAGAUUAACUUCAUGUAAUUUGGUCCAAGGUGGAGAUUGUUGGGAAUUGUCCCAAAUUCCUAAUUAGUAAAUAUUCCUUUUUUGUAAAGAACAUUGUAUAAAAUAUUUCUAGGUUGAUAUAUUAUUGUAAUAUUAGACUUCCUUAUAGAAUAAGGAAGGUUGUUGGAAAUAUCUCUAUAAAUAUUCUAGGUCAUGAGGGGAAAAAGUUAUGAGAUGGAGAUGGGCCUAUAGAGACUAUACAAGGUGGAUAGAGAUGUGAGGAAGAACGGGAGGUACCUGGUGGAGCGAGAGGGCUCGUAGUAAGGUAUGGAUACAAGGAGUGGGGAAACAUGGGAUGUUUCGGGAACCCAAUAGUUGUAUCUGGUUCUAUCCUCUGUAAUAUUCUCUAUUGUAUAGUGGAAUUAUUCUCUUUCAUCCGUGGACGUAGGCAUGGUUGGCCGAACCACGUUAAAACCUCGUGUACCGUAUGUGUGAUUGUUUUUAUCUUUGUGUUCUUGAACUAACAUCGUUGGCAUCAAAGCUUCCGCUGGCACAACAUGUUGAGAUUGUUGGAAAUAGACAGAUGAAACGGAGUAGGAGAUCGAAUUUAUCAUAAGCCUUCAUUGGCUUGGUAUAGAAGAUGUCAUACAUGAAUCCAAGCUCAAUCUCAAUCACUUGGAAAGCUUCUGUCCAAGAUAUAUUCUUGAAGUAGGACUUGCUUUGUUCAAGGGCUGUCGGCUCAAGGACGAGAUCUGUAAAUAAACGCUUGAACUUGGGGAAGAAUUUGUUAGCCUUUUGCAAAGGGACUGCAUCUGGGAUACUUUGGUUACUGGGGUCUGGCGAAGGUAUAUAGUCGUCAAUGACCUCUGGGCCUGGAUGACGGAUAAUGGAAUCUCUAAAAUGAUCCAUGCUUCCGGACUUUAGAAACAAAGUUUUCUCCCCAAACUUGAUCAGUCCUGUCACAAACAUUGAAUAGGUUAGAAUAUUGAGUAGUGUGCGCUUCCAGGACCUUAAAAAGAUGCUCAAUGCCCACAGAAACAUCAAGAGUAGAUGAAUGAAGGGUCUUAUCCAUAAUUCAUCAUCUGCCAAAGAAUAGGCUGUGAUGGUGUCCGGGCCUCCAAGGUGGUGUAGCAGAAAUGGUAGCCAAAAUGCCCUUAUCAUAUCGUUUUGUUGUGAUGAGUAAUCGUUUCCAGCUCCCAGGCACUUGAAGAGUACGCCAAUAAAAAUAUCAAACACCAAAUCUUUGGUUGUGUAAGCUAGCCAAAUGGUGAAUCUAAGCAACUUUCCGGGUGUAUAUUUUCUCCUGUUGCCCAGGAGGACGAGCUCAAUUUGUAAGAGGAGGCUGACUAAAACCAAUCCACGGAGUAGCCACUCAUUAAGAAAUCUAACCACAAUUACAGGCAAAAUUUCUUGUACAGUCCUCCUAUUCAUGAUGAUCAUGCAGCCAAUACCUGAAAAUAUAAAAAUAAAUUAUCAGAUUAAUACAGAAGAUCUGAAUGUCAAUUGAUCAUUAGAAAUGACAGAGUGAAUUGAUGAGGAACAGAAUUCAGCAUGCUCAAAACCUAAACCUUUUGACACAUCUCAAUCAUACAAUACUACUAUGCUCUUUUCUUGUAGAUAUUACUUGCUCUUGACCCAAUGGACCUUUAAAGCUUUAAAAGUAGGAUGUAUCCAUAUACAAUAUAGAGAUCACAAUGAUUUCCGUAUAAACACAACAUCCUCAUUGUUCCAUGGGAUUGCAGGGUGGAUAGAAAAAGUUUUACAUUAGGGUCGAGGUUAGGGAUCACAUGUAGAGAAGCAUUGCAUGUGGAGGGAUUCGCUCCUCUCCAUAUAAAUAUUAUUUGCUCUAGAUGCAAUGCAUGUCUAUAAGAUUAAGAGAAGUUGUACACUACUACAAACUUUUUUCCCUCUAAGACGGUAUCACACUAUUAAUAAUUGACUAAGUAAAAAAUUCAAAAUUUUGCAUCCUCUCUUGCUUUCAACACAGUGAUUAGCACAUCUAAGCAAUUUCUUCCAUGAGCACAUUUUUGGAAAUGGGGAGUGAUUUUUGUCAGAGGGUGUUUCUGAUUUCAAAUAGUAAAACAAAAUGCACUUCUAAUUUCAAUUUUCAAAUAAUGAAGGAAACUAAUUACUUCACUACAAACCAGAUUCCGACUUGCUUGCCUAGAAAAUAGACACUGACACAACUGCAUGACAUUACAACUACAUAGAAAAAUGAUUUUCUCAGCAACCAAACGGAGCUCAACCCAACACCCAAACUCAUUCAGAAUCCCACAAACUUACAAAUAACAAUAACCUCAAACUCAUUAGUAUUCAUAUGGGCCAACAAACAAGGAUUAAACCGAAGCAAAUUUGUAUGUAAUCUAAGCCAAAGAAAACAUACCCACUUUUCUCCGAGUCUGUGAAUGUGAUGUGAGGGAGAGAGACACUAAGAAGUGCCAUGGGAGGUCAAGAGUGCAAGCAGAAAUAGUGAGUGAAGUCUUCCCUCCGUCAUUUUUUUUUGGUGUGGCAUCUCAGUGAGACCUACUUCUUGGUUUAAAAUUGCAGAUACGGUCUCUCUGUUAUUACUUUAAUUAGCGCGGGUCUGGAGUUUUGUGUAGUAACGUGGAUGUCAUUUAAAAUAGAAAAAGAUGCAAAAAACUCUUGGAUUUUACGUUGGUCCCAAGCGUGUUCCCGGUGGCCAGAUGUUUGUCCGAGAUUGACAAAAUCUAGGUGACCCUAUUAAUUUUUAUAUAUUAACAUUAAGAUUUGAACUAAUUAAACUCAAAGUGGGAAUCUAUGGCUUGUUUUGAGUUGAUUACAAAAAUCGAUCCUUCAUUUUGAUCUGUUUUGAUUCCUCUAGAUAACAAAAAUGAAUUUCUUUUCUUAUUAAAUCAAGUCCUAAUCAUAAAGCCAAACAUUAUAUGCCAAAACACUCAAAUAAUUUUAUCAUUAUAGGGAUGACAAUGGGCAGUUCUUCGGGGUACCCGUUUCGUCUUGCUCCUGGCGGGAAGGGUUUAGGAUAAAGAUAAAUAGAUUUGAGAUGAAUUUAAGAAAUUUUUAAAAAUUUAGGAUGAGUUUGAGGCGGGUUCAGGUAGGACUUUGUCCCACCCCAUCCUGAGUACAUACGAUGCCUUUAAAUUAUAAUGUUAUAUAUCCUUAAAAUCAUAAUAUUAAUGUUGUUAUUUGUAAUGUCAUAAUCACAUGUUAUGUUUUGUUUUCAAAAAGCACUAAGAAAAAAAACUUGUUAAGGAAAUUGAUUUUCUAUAUUUGGUUGUCCUAUGAAAAAUAUUAAAUAAAAUUAAAUAAAAUUAAAAACUUUUACAUUUUUAAAUAAUUCAAUCUUGAUAUUGAAAAGUUCAAAUAAAUGAAAUGAAUUUGAAGUGACAUAAAAUAUUUAUUGACUUUAAAUCUGAUUUUUAUUUUCUUUUAUUUUUUUUCCUUUAUUUUUUUUCCUUGCAUUUUUAUAUAAUCAAACAAAGUCAUAGUGUAUUUAUUUAGGAAGUUUCUCUGGCAUGAUUUCUUUAUGAUCUUUCUAUGUUCAUUAUUUUUUGGGAUAAUGGAUUCCCACCUCAAGUAUUAAGAUAUAUUUAUUUAAGUUUUCAAAGUGAAUAAAUUAGUGAGGACUUGAUUAUUUGUAUCCUUUGGAGGGUUUUUCUAUAUUAUAUUUGGUGUUCUUUUUUUGAUUGAAUGUUUUUGAAUUAUUAUUAUUCAUUAUUAUUAGGAUGUUAUUAUUGUUGAGAGGGAAAAUUUUGAUCUUUAAUUCAUUUAAUUACUAAUCCAUCCAGGAUUAACCCAUGAAAGAAUUUGAAUUGGACUAGAUAUAAAAAUUUAUUUCAUAAUUUAAAAAUUCUCUUGAAAACAAAGAAUUUAAAAACGUUGAGAAAAAAAACAUGAUUUUUCUUUACAUAUUAAUUAAGUACAGUUGGUUGACACAUGUUUUUAUUUAUUUAUUUAUUUUUAUAUAUAUAUUUUUUAAUGAAGUUAAUUAGUUCAACUCUCUUGAGUGCAUGUUACGUCUGUUAUCAUUAUAAUCUAAAAAUUUAAUUUAAAUUAUUAGAUAAUAUGUCAACAAAGCAAAGAAUCUUCGCAAUGAGAAAACCUUAAAUUUAGUAUCUUCAUAAUAUUAAAAUUGAAAAAUAAAGUUGUGGGCCUAUCAAGUUGAUUUAUAGCCAUUCAAUAUAGUGUGAAUGUUAAUGGAUAGUGAAUUUUAAUAAUAUUGGAAUUAGUAGAUAGAUAAAGUUGGAAGAUAUAUGAAUUUUAGAGUAUGUUUGACAAUAUUUCUAGGAAACAUUUUUAAUAUUUCUAAUGGUUAAAAGUUUUUAUCAAAAGAAUUAUUUUCAAAUGCUAAAAUAACUAGAAAUAGUACUUCCCAAGAUCACUACUAAAUAAUCUUCAUCAUCAAUUCUUUUGGAUCUCAACAUUGUUAUCAACAUGCUAAAAUUGAAGGAUUUUUUUCUUUCCUGACUUUCUAAAUGAAGUCGUAUUCCUUUAACUAUCAUGUGAAGCCAACUUAGGCUAAAUUUUAGUUUAUAUUUCCAAGGGAUGGUUAUUCAUAUACUAAAAUUAAUGAGUGUAUACCAUAUGAAUGGUUAUUGAUAUGCUUAUGACAUUUUUAAAUUAAUACAUCAAACUCAUGGGUAUGGAUCUUUCUCACUCACGUGAUAUCAUCUUCAUUCAUCUACCACUAUUAAAUAAUAUUUUAUUACUAAGAGAACAUGCGUCCUAGGCCUUCUAUCACCGGGAUAAUCCAAUGAUAAAAAUAUAAAAGAAAUAAAGAGAGAGAAAGACAAACAAGGUACAUUUAACUAUUGAACUGCCAAUUUUCUUAAAAGAAGUUUAGGGUUUAUUUGACAACUGUUUUCAAGAAUAAUAUUUUGUUCUCCAGAAAAAAAAAAAAAAAAAACAUGUUAGAUAACUAGAAAUUAUUUUCUGUUUUAUGUUAUUAAGAAUAAAAAACACAUUAGGCUUUUAACAAUUUUAUUUUUUUUGUGGUUCAGAGUCAAGAGGGUUGAGAAGUUUCAUACUCUUCAUUGUUGUCAGGUUCUCCUUUGCUUAGUAUUUCAAUUAAUCACUACUCUGAUUACUUAGCAGAAAUGAUACAAUUUAACUAGACAUAGCUUCUGGGGUGUGGGUUCAGCUAAUAAAACAUACCCUUUUUUGAGGUGAAAUUUGUUUUGAACUUGUAAUAAUAUAAUUUCAAGAUUGUGGUUCUCGCAAUAAGCUUCGAGUGUGAGAUCAAUUAAUCAAUCUGAUCAUCUGUGAAGUCUAUUGUUGAACAAUCAAACUAAGCUUAAACGAAUAAGAUCGAGAAGGCUAUAAACACAGAAAUGGUGAAAGCUUCCCACCAAGCUUUCACCAAGAUGUAUUCUGGAACAAGAAUGAACCAGAUCUGCAAAGAAGUGCCUGAAAGUGUCAAAAAUGUAGUAAGCCUCAUGCAGCAUGGCUGACUUGGGGGUAAUGCUGCUCCCUGCAUCUGUAUUAGAAUGACCUACUGCAGUUUCCUCUAAUAUCACUGUCCCCAGCUGUGAAAUCUUAAUGUCUAAUGCCAUUUGAACUAUACUUGUCCGUGAAUUUUAGAUAACUAGGCACUGGGUCAGGACAAGUUAGCAAGACUUCUCAUGUCUUUUUUAAUAAAAAGAUAAUUACCCUUUUUUAAUUAUUUAUCAUGAUUUGGUGGUAAUAGAGCCCUUGUAUAUAUGAGGAUGUGAAGUAGAGGUCCUAUUUCAUGAAGAAUAAUGAGUCGGUAAGAUCAAUCAAGGUGUAGACCCCGCAUUUCGGCUCAUGCACUUCAACUCGAUGACGAGCUCUUUUUUUAUUUUAAAAUGAUUUUAUUGAUUUAUAAAAUGACUUGGAGUCGCUAUUUAUUUUUGUUUAAUUUUUAAAAAGGUAAACAAAAUAAGAAGGAAAACCCUAAGUAUGAUUUCUUAAUUUAGAAAAGGUGGUCUGUGAAAAACCGGAUUAGGCUCGGGGGUCAAGUUACUUAUCGGAAAGGUACGGUAAAGACCGUAGCACCUCUCUAAGUCCCUAAAAACGGGUCUCUACUAAUAAAAUAAAGCAAUCAUGACAAUUAGUAAGAAGAUCAAUGGAUAUCCAAAAAGAUCAUGCACAUACGAGAAUCUAAACAUGCAUAAAAAUGACCAGAGUGAGAAUGAGAGUGUAUCUUAACAAUGAGCCACAAUGUGCUAUCAAUAAAGGAGGUUAGUGCACAAAUAAUGGACACAAAACAUAGCUCACAUGCCACUAAAUCGAAUACGAAAUCAUCAUAUAUCACAAUUCAAUCAAAUUGAUUUUCAAAGGAAACAUCCAAUAAUGUUGGGCCCCCACCAAAGCCCGUUUUAAAUCCAUUCCAUAAAUUUCAUCAUUUGGAAUUACAAAAUUGAAUUAAUGCUUAUUUUAAAACCUUUCAAAAAUCAUGGAAUUUAUGAAAAUUGCUUGCCAUAAGGGAAAAUGGCAGCAAAUUUUUAUUAAAAAGAAAGAAAUUUUUGGAACGUAAAAAAAAUAAAAAUAAAUUCUAAGGAUGAACGAGAAUUUGAAGGAUCAAGAUUAUUAAAAGAACUAACAUUUUGAAGGUAAUUUGCAAAAUGGGACUGAGAAAACAUUUUUUUUUAAAAUCAAAGAGAAAAAAAAAGUAAAGGGAGAUGACACAUGCAUUAAGGUGGCCAUGCGGACCAUUGCUCAACACAAGAGGCUAUAGCCAUUCCCUUGUCCUUACUGCCAUAUCAGUGUGACCUAUACUGCAUGGGGCGUCUGAACCUUGAAACCCUUUCAUAACCAUAUGAAGGAUAGAAAAGGGGGCCCAUGCCUGGAAGGUCUUCGUCUUCAACUGGCGGCCAUGCAAUCCCGAUUCAUUUAAAAGAGGAGCAUUCUGAACACUCUAUCUCAACAAACUCCACAUAAGCAAAUCCUUUACUAAUCCAAAUAGAAUAUUAGUUGAGAGCGUUCUUUCAUGGGCCUCAUCCACGAUCACCACGCUGUAGCUUGCCAGAUCUGGUUCACCAAGGAAUUCUCUCAAUAACAUUCCAUCAGUCAUAUAUUUUAGAACCGUCUUUUCUGUCGUGCAAUCUUCAAAACGGAUAGAAUAGCCAACCUCAUGCCCAAGUUUAACGCCCAUUUCCUGAGAAACUCGAGCUGCAACACUCAUAGCAGCAACUCGCCGUGGCUGGGUACGUCCAACCUUUCCACGCUUUGUGUACCCAGCUUCAUGAAGAUAUUAAGGUAUCUGUGUGGUUUUCCCAGAACCAGUCUCCCCAACAAUAACAAGAAUCUGAUGAUCAUCUACUGCUUUGAGCAAUUCAUCUCGAUAUGGAUAGAUAGGCAACAUUUUUCUAUCUUCCUGAAGUUUCUCUAAUUCUGAUUUUGCGACAUAAUCAUCAUGAGGCUCAGCAAAUAAACCAUCUUCAAACUAGUCACCAUCCAUCACAGAUGCCUUGAUGAAUUCAAUCUGGUCCUCAAAUACAAACUGACAGUCAUCUGACUUUUGGUUUUUAUCUUUUAAACCAAAUUUUAAGGUUGCCUUUCCAAUUUGAUGCUCCUCCCAUGCCUCUUGUUCUGCAAAUGGAUUAAUCUUAUCAUUUGCACUUGAGUCCCUAUAACACUGCAAAGCCACAGCAAUUCUCGUCUCCUGAUUUACACCCCCUUCCUGAUCAUAAGCUUCAAACAUUCUAUACUCAUUUAUAUCAUCAGUUUCUUCUGACCUCUUCUUCACAAGAUCGUAUAUUUCCCUUUUGUACCUUAGUUCACGCUGUUCUGCUUCAAUCAACUUCACGCCAUCAAGGAGAUAUUGUUCAUCUUCUAUAUCAUCUCUAAGCUCCUCCAGUUUCUUUUGCUCCAUUUUCUUUAAAUAUUCUUGUCUUGAAACUUUUCUUAAAGCCGAAAUGUCAUCUUCCUCCAUAGCAUUAGAUCUCCGGAUUGCUUCUUCUUCCUCCUUCCGUGAUAACUUUGGCUCUGUUAACUUUCGUGUCCCUGCUGCAUCCCGUUGUCUUAUAUUCUGCUAUUGUGUUAACGAGCAUCGGAUUGUGGCCCUUCCGGUAUCGAGCCAGCCAUGAAUCAUCAAACACCACACCCUCCAUGCAUUUUCAUUCAUUCCCCACCGACCCAUCACCCUAUCAGCACGUGGAACCCUCUUAGUCAAGGAUGAUACUGCUACGGCCAAUUAAGCUUCGCUUCUUGGCUGUGGCUCUCGACCUUUGGCUGAACUGGAUUCAUAGGUUCAAUAAACACAGUGAACGAAAUAGCUAGGCAAUCCCAUUCCCAAUGGAAGAUGCAGCCAUGGUUUCCCAUGCGAAGUUGUGGGAAGCUUUACUGGGAUCAUAGAACAAGGACGCAACACCCAUAGCUACCUUCAAAAUGUCACUGACAAGACUGAAGUUGCUGAAUCAUUUGGAUGUUCUUGUGAUCAAUUCUGCUCUUAGAUGACAUCCAAACUUUGAGAAUAUGUAUCCCUUGUAAGAAUUCACAGCCAGCCCUGAUUUCUGUCUCUCUCACAGCCAAUGUAUUGAACAAGAUCCAGGAAUAAAAGGCAACCACAGAAGAGAAGAAACCAUAGGAACAGAGCAUGAAAGAAAACAAAAUAAAAAAAACAUCCUCAAAUGAGGCUUCACAUGGGUCAUCAGUGAGCCCUCUGAUUAAGUGAGAAAAACCACAUCAAAUACGACUAUUGGCAUGAUUCUUAGGUAUUUCGCAAUAGAGGCAAGGUAUAUUAAGAUCAACAAUGGCAAACACAAGUUCAAGAUUAUAUAUCAACAAGCAACAAGUGGCCUUCAUCAUUCACCCCAAGCAAACCAAUAAAUAUCCAAAUAUCGACAAGAAAUGUAGAGGGAUAGUAAGGAUCCGAAUCAAACAAUAAACCUGUUGCAUUCAUACCUGAGAGUACCCUUCUUUAGUAAAGCUCUGUUCAGCUUCAAACACCUUAAAUCCACCUCCAAUGCCAACGAAACUAAUGAAACAGUGGAGCCAUCCUCCUCUACUCUCCAAAUAUACAGCUCUCCCUCUCUCUCACUCUCUGGUUAUCUCUCAAAACUUUUCUUCCAAGGUCCCACGAAAACUCUCCCUGUUACUCCCCUCCAGCUUGCUACCUCCAAGCUAAACGAAAUCCCCCUCAAAAUAUCUCUCUCAAUCAGCAAGAAAAAAGCACCCUUUCACCUACAGCUGGCUACCCUCAGAACAGAAUACACGCUCCUGCAGAAUCUCCCUUUACAAGUGUCCCUUUUCCAUUAGCUCAUUCAAAACACUAGCUGAUUCCCUAGCAGCCGAUCAGGAGGCAGCACAUGGCUCUUUGAGAGCCCUCCACCUGGCAAAAAUGAGCUGCAGGAACAUGAAAAAAAGGAGCCCCAAAAAUGGGGGUCUACACAAGGUCUCAUCAUGAUGGGUUCAAAGAUGUAGCUCAUUUUGAGCUCAACAUUUAGAGAUUUAGAGCAUAAGGUCUUGUGUAAGGUUGAAAAUGCAUUCCUUUUCUUUACAUUAGACAAUUGCUUAGAACAACAUCUGAGACACCAUUGUUCUGUCUAAGCUUUUAUUGGAGAUGAAUGAAGCAAUGGAUGUGAGUAGGUCUUUCAAUGUUCUGUUCUACUUCUUUGUUGACAUCAUGUAGAGAGGCCUAAGAAUUUUUACAAAAAUAAUAAUAAUAAUAAUAAUAAUAAUAAUAAUAAUUAUGAAAGUGAAUGUAAUUUAUAAAUUUGAAGUAGUCUUAGAGCUGUUUAGAUGAUUUGUGGCAUAUCAAACUUAUUGACUAGGGUAUUGGCCUUUCUCUUAAUUUUCAUCAGUGUUCCUAAUCGAUAUCCACCUCUGUCCUUGCAUGGCCUUGCAAAAUCUUGAAAUGUUCAGCUAUACCAAAAUGAGGCAUUAGAAGCCAAAUAUGAGUGAGCAGCUCUCUGCCUUGCCAUGAUGAUUCCAUCAAGCCAUUUUUUGAGCACUCACAGAACUUGGUUAACUGUGGGAACUUUAUUUUUGCCUUUAUUCUCCCCUGCUGCAGGCUAAACCUCAUGGUUCUGAGACCAAAGAAUUUUGUGAGUGUGGAAAAAAAAAAAACAAAAUUGGGGUAAGAUGGACUGGAGUGGGUUAAACAAAAAGGAUCAAUUAAUAAAUCCGAGUCAACCUCAGUCUAUAGGUUAUAGCCUUUUUCAAACCUCUUGGAUUUCUCUCGCCUAUAAUGUCAUGGAAAUUUCUUGAUGAUUUCUUCUAAACUAGGGUCUUGUAUGCUGUAGCAUAAGCCCUACUUCUAUAUCAUUAAUUCUGUAAAGGAACCACUAGAUCAUAUAACAAAUUCUGACCCUCUUCUUAAUUGCUCUUCUAGGUAGCAACUUUAGUGAAAUUGCAUUAAAAAAAUUCUACAUGGCUUGUAACUUGGCAAUCACCAUUGGAGACAGUUUGUUUAUUUGUUUGUUUUGGCCAUACCAUAGAUUUGUUCACUUGUGAGAGUCCAUUGUCAUAAGAAACAAAAUAGUAGGCUUGUCGCUUGUGCUCCCUGGCUACAUUUCAACAAAAUGUUAAGAUUGCUUUCAAAGGGGACGAAGUGAAGCCCUUUUUCUAAUCUUUUAUAGCUGUGUUGUUGGGGAAUAGUGUCAUGGUGUGAAAUGAACUACUUAAAUCAUUAAUUAAUAAGGUUAUUCCCUGAGAAAUAUGCAAAUCAAUGGUUUUAGUUGAAGGAAUAUUCCACAUGUGACUGGGAUUAUGGGAAAUGUCAAGGAAGCUAUCCCUUUCUCUCCGGCUACAAAAUAAAUUUGACGGCUCCAAUUAUUUUCUCUAGCUACAACCUAAAUUUUGCAGUUCCAAUCCCCAAGAUUUGAGUCUUGUAGAAGCCUCUUUCUCCUCAGUAUUAUGGGAAAAAGAGGAGGUAGAAUGGAGGAUCCAUGGCCAAGGUCAUUCUCUCAUGGGUGGCACAGAAGCUGUGUGUUCUGGUCAUUCAAGAAUCAGGCCCUUUGAAUGGACUAGAAGAAAAGGUCAGACAUCAAUUUUAUAUCUUUCACAGGAGGAAUCUCUCCCCUUUAAUUUGCCCAAUAUAGAUAUUUUUCCAUUUCAUCCAUACCAAUCAUUUCUUUUAUUUUCUUCCUUAAUUAUUAACUACUUUUAUGCAAAUGGAUGUAAGAAUGUUUCAGGUUCCCCUUAAAUAAAACAAAGCACAAAUGGGAGUAACAGUUCUAAGGAAAGACUCCACCUUUAAAAUGAAACUUAAAGCAAAUGCAACAAUGGUGGAACUCUCACCACCUCAAUAGAAACUCCUUUGAAUAAAAGGAUUGAAAACCAUUUUUGAGAAAAAAGGAAUUUCCAUGGAAAUGGAGAAAAUCGACCCAAUCUCUUUGUCAUCAGCAUUCCUAAUUCACAACCAGCCUAAUCCUGGCAUACAUGUUCAGUAAUACCAAAAUGAGCCAUGAGAAGCCAGACAUGAGUGAGCAGCUCUCCACCUAGCCUUAGCUUCUCGGCAUGGUGAUUCCUUGGACAGUGACAUGCAGCAUAACAUAGCAUCUCUACCCACACAUGACUCAUCAACUCCCAUUUCUUUUCACAAUUCCAUUCCUCUUCUGUCUCCAGGGAUUGCAAAGACUUGGCCAG
Molecule: long non-coding RNA, 21392 nt
Filed under: Vitis vinifera (wine grape)
Lineage: Eukaryota; Viridiplantae; Streptophyta; Magnoliopsida; Vitales; Vitaceae
Description: long non-coding RNA (VVIN_LNC001612)
Source: RNAcentral